AUGAACGCUGGCGGCGUGUCUAAGGCAUGCAAGUCGAACUCUGUGUAGCAAUACAUGGGGUGGCAGACGGGUGCGUAACACAUUGGUAACCUACCUCGAAGUCGUGAAUAACCUGCCGAAAGGCGGACUAAUACGCGAUGAAAAUGGGGGGACAUAUGUCAUUCCCAUUUAAAGCUCAGGCGCUUUGAGAGGGGCCUAUGGUCUAUCAGCUAGUUGGUAAGGUAAAAGCUUACCAAGGCUACGACGGAUAGCGGGUGUGAGAGCAUUACCCGCCUCACUGGGACUGAGACACUGCCCAGACUUCUACGGAAGGCUGCAGUCAAGAAUAUUCCGCAAUGCCCGCAAGGGUGACGGAGCGACGCCGCGUGAUUGAUGAAGCCCUUCGGGGUGUAAAGAUCUUUUAUCAGGGAAGAACAAAUGACGGUACCUGAUGAAUAAGAGGUUGCUAACUCUGU
Molecule: ribosomal RNA, 455 nt
Filed under: uncultured bacterium
Lineage: Bacteria
Description: bacterial SSU rRNA
Rfam family: Bacterial small subunit ribosomal RNA
Source: RNAcentral